CAAUACUCAUUCCCUAACCCAACCUAAUCUAAAAAGACCUAAGACUCCAAAUCUAAAGGAAGGAAGCUGGCGCCGCUGAUCAACACACACGACCCCUCCCCGUGUUCCUCAUCUUCUUCUUCUAACCUAGGCAAACCAAGACACAAGUUGAACCCUAGAACACCCUACAAAAUUGGUUGCCUUCUUUUUCUUCUUCAGCUAAGAUUCAACAAUGAAACCCUAACAGACCUAAGGGACGAAGCUACAGAUGCUGAACUCCAAGAACGACACAAAACCCUAGGAACCUAAAACCAGCAACCUGUUGCCGCCCAAUAGCCCUUCUUCACUCACAGCACGCCCAAAAACCAGUCCACCCCUGAAACUCUACGAUGCUGACCAGCCUUCCAACGACCACCAGAUCUCCACACCGCAAAAUCCACCAUAAAUGAUCCAUUAACACCACUUUCUAACCAGCUCCAAAACCUCAUACAAUACACUCCUAGAUAGCUCUAAAUCUCCAUGAAAAUUACUCCAAACCCAGCAUGAAACAACCUGAAAACAGCCUAUAAACAAGAUGUAGAACACCUCUAACUAGUCACAGAACUCGAGAGAUUUGUUUAGUUUUGCUAUUUGAGGUACCAUCAGAGGUUUACUGUCAAAGCUACGAUCGCCGCUCCGGUUCUGCGUCACUGUUUAUUUUCAGCUCGAUCUGGCUGACUUUUAAUUUUACGUCGAGGUUUUUGUUUGAGAUCAUGUUCGCGAUUCCGUAUAAUUUUCUAGUGUUUAAGGAAAUCAGACGACGCCUUUUGAGGUCCCUCUCUCUUUGCUUAUCCUUUUUUAUAUCAGUUUGUGUUUUCUUGCUUCUGUUAUAUGUCCUGUUUAAUUGCUCCUUCGUUCUUUCCUAUACAAGUAGUCCAUGAUUUAUAGUUAAAUGAGUUUAAUGGUUAUGAUGAAUUUGUUAUUUACUGUUGUAAAUAUUCAUUAAGAGGUAAAUGUUUGAGACUUCAAGACUGAUUUUUCUUACAUAAGAAUUUGAAUCAUUACUUAAUUAGGUAAGUUUGAAAACAAGUGUUAGUCUAUGGGGAUGGGGAAUGUCAGAUACAUGAAACGAAUAUUUUACUUUAGCUAUAUUUUUAAUUUCUUUAUUGAUUCACUAGGAGUAUGUUAGGUCGAUCACACUUGGGUAGACGAGCUUUAGAAUUUUGUUAGCUUUGUGGCGAGAGGUCGUUCCUUUAGUUAAAUUUAUCAAGGGAAUGCCUUGAAGGAUUUGUGUAUAUUUUAUACAGGGAAUACUCCGUAGUACUUGUAUUUGGAGUCCAAAAGUAGAACUUGUAGUAUUUUGUUUUUCUUUUAUUAGGAUGGGACGACCUCGAGCCCUUUUGUGUGUUUAUUUUUCUGUGUUUGUUUUACCUCAAUUCGAAUAUUCUGAAAGCCGAUUAGAUCAGGUAUGCAACCGUACUAGUUACGGGACUUAGGGAAUGUCUAACACCUUCUGCUCGAGUCAAAUGAACCCCCUUUCCUAAAAUCUCUGGUGCAAACUCAAUUUGGAGCCCGAAGUAUUUUAAAGGAGAAAAUCAUUUUAAAAAGGUUGACCUGACACAUCGAAAUAAAUGUCAGAUGGCGACUCUGAAUUAAUUCGUUUAAAUACUAUCUUUUGUCACUUUUUAAUUAAAACCCUUUUUCAAGCUUUGCGAAAUCUUUUUAUUAAUUUAAGAGGGUUAAGUAAAGUUUGUAAAAAAGGGGUGCGACAUCUCUGGUGACUUUGCUAGGGAGUUGCAGGUUCGAGCUGGUACUUGAUCUUGUUAGCUUUUAGGAUAUUCAAUUGAGGUGUUUGUUUUCUUUAUUUGCUUUGUUUAUGUGCUUUGUUUGUCUUAUUUCCUUUUUUGUUGGUUAUAUUUUUAUUUCUUUUCUAAAUGUGUUGCUGCUGUAUAAUCUGUCAAUAUUUGCAUAACCAUGCGUCUUCUUUUUGUAACAAGUUUCGGAGUACGUGUCACGUGCACGAACUGUUUGUUGAGCCACCCUUAAUUUAGGAGGGGGCGUCGAACGUUUGGAGUGGGUGAGAAUCUUGAGCAACCACCAUCGACCAUACGCUCCCCCAAAGUGCCUUGUUAGUGAACCCCGAAUUUAGGUCUGCCUUUAGAUCAUUUUUAUUUGCAUCAUGUCAUUUACAGUUAGUACGGCUCGGUCUGAGGCACCAUGUCUCUUUGUAUGAAGCUUAUUCAAAUUUUGUCAAAAAUAAACCCGUGGCGUGAAAAGACAUUCAAUCAUUCAUAUGUGAUACAGGUUACAUCUAUAAGGGUAAAAAGGUUAUUUGGCGGACCAAUAUUUGGGAAAGAAGGGUGAAAAUAAAGCAAGUAGGACCCAGUUAUAUUUUUUCACAUCUUUUCAAGAAAAACACAAAAAAAAUAAAAAUAAAAAAUUUAAAAAGAUUUUGCACUUUCCCAUUAUUUUAAAUAAAAAAAAUCCAAAAAGAUUUUACAUUUCCAUCAUUUUCCAAAAAAAAUUUAAAAAAAAAAGAAAAAGAAAAAGAAAAUCCAAAAAGAAGGUACAUUUUCCAUCAUUUUCCAAAAAAAUAGAAAAAAAAAAGAGAAGAAAAAAUCCAAAAAGAUUUACAUUUUUCAUCAUUUUUCAAAAAGACAAAAAAUAUAUUUUUUCCAAAUUAAUGUCAUUUUUUUAACUUUCUCCCAUAUCUAAUCUUCUCGAACUACGCGAACCUGAUUCUCGUCGUUCAGUGUGUGAUAUGUAGGUAACCCACAUAGGUUCCGGUCUUCCUAGUGAAUCUUAGGUUCUUGGCUUUGCGGGGUUUUAGCCAAAUCUUGCAUGUCUAGCCACUUUGGCCAUAUCGGCCCUUAUUACAAAAUGGGGUCAUUUUGCAAAAGUGGUUCAAUUACCCUUGUCUUAGGAUUUUGAGUCGAUAACUAGGUGUCAUAUUACUUUAAGGUCGUUUCAUUUUUAGUUUGCAUCUUUAGCCAUUCCUGGCUAUAUCGGCCGUUUUUGAAAAAUUGGUCAUUUUUGCAAAUUAGUUUUGGGCCAUGAUUAUUGAGAGUUAAAUCCAUAUAAGCAUUACUGAGGUAUUUUUCAUAUCUGAGUAGUCAUCCAUGUUAAGUUUUCACUUCUAGCCACUUUUGGCCACGUAGUUUAAUUUUCAAAAAAUAAUUCAAUCAUGUCUUGCAUGUGUCCAAUAAGGGGUGUUGUGGUAUAACAUAGUGUCUCGAGUCACUAAUCUAAUUGGUCUUAUUUUUCUCAUUCAGGUAAAAAUUCAUUUACCACAACUCGAGCAUAACGGAUAUCCCAGGACCACUGCAUUCAGGAGCUACUUGAGAAGUCUUUUUUAUAUUUUGAGCAUGUUUUUGAGUCUUUAAGGUAGCUUAAGAGUUUGUCUAGUCUCUUGUUAUCAUACUUCUUAUUGGCCCAAAAACAAAUGAAGUUUUGAAGAAUGACAAAUGAACUCAGUCAUGGACCAGGUCCAUCAUGUGAAGCACAGUCAUAAUCACUACACAUGUCAGAUGCACGUGAAGGAGAUAAGUCCCAUUGAUCAAGCCCAUAUCUCAUGAUCUGAUCGUAAGGUUGCAUAUUGGAUAAGGGAAGAAAGUCUCCUUACGUGAAGAGAACACAAUCCGUAUAAAAUAUAAUGUUGGAGUUUGAGAUGUUCAGGGACUCAACUUCGAUGGAAGAUCAGCAAUUGAGUCCCAAUCAAACUCUAAUUGCUAUCCCAUUAAAUAACAGUGAUUGUUCUCCUUUACAGGUAUUGGACAAACGCAGAAGUUAAUCUAAAUUGAGAGCAAAAGAGCAAGGCGAUCUUGCAAGCAAUUUAUGUGAGAUUUAGGUGUGCACUCUUGAAGCUACUUGAACAAGAUAGAAGAACCAAUUUCAUUUGUGUCUUUCUUUUAUUCUAGUUCAAUUGUAGUAAGUGGUUUAUAAUUUUACCUUUCAACUUUCAUAGAAGCUAUUGUAUUAGGUACUUAGAGUUUUCAAGUUAGAGUUAACUUGAAGUUCUUGCAACAGUUGAGGUUGUGUGCUACAAUGGGAUUAGAGUUAAUUCUUAGGUUUACAAAGAGUUUUUGUAAAUGCUGUUUUGGCUCAAUGAUUUUUGUGGAAGUUUGAGAAGAUCCUACUGAGUAGCAAGUCGUGGUUUUUUUACCUUUUGAGCCAGUUGUUUUCCAC
RNAcentral lists this long non-coding RNA (4143 nucleotides) under Nicotiana benthamiana. RNAcentral describes it as "long non-coding RNA (NBEN_LNC021535)". The record is from RNAcentral. Lineage: Eukaryota; Viridiplantae; Streptophyta; Magnoliopsida; Solanales; Solanaceae.